UCCCCUGUGGCCGUAAAGGUUAUGUCCAUGCAUCAGCAUUGAUACCUGGGACUUCUAGGUAGUGAAGUUGUUGAUGCCUGUAAGUUUAAUGGGUAGUUGAGAUGCAGGAUUAAAUUGGAUGAUGGUGGUGCCACUGGCAGUGUUAUCUGCAUUAACAAUAGUGGCGUUGGUGGCCAUUUUUGUGAGAGGAAGUAGUUAGGGUUGGAGAGAAAGAAAUUGGGAUCUCACUGGUUUGAGCUUUUAGAUCCUGAUACCAUAAAAUAACUAAUGAUGGAC
RNAcentral lists this long non-coding RNA (276 nucleotides) under Capsicum annuum. Its description in RNAcentral is "long non-coding RNA (CANN_LNC018190)". The record is from RNAcentral. Lineage: Eukaryota; Viridiplantae; Streptophyta; Magnoliopsida; Solanales; Solanaceae.